GUUGAACUCAAUGCUCUUCAAGGUCUCUUCCAGUCAGGAGGAUUCUGUGAUGACAAGUCCCACUCAGUCACCUUCUCCAGGGCAUUUAAACCUUCAGACUCUGUUCAGAGUCAUGAGGACCCAAGGAGAGACUCAAAGACAGAAGGAUGGGGCAGCCCACAUCUCCAAUGCUCUGGCCUCAAACACAAGGUGCUGACAGAGCAUGGAAGAACUGCUAUGAAACAAUUCUUCCUUCAGAGGAGAAGCAAACUGUCUCCAGGAGCUGCUCCAAGUCCUCUGAAGGUCUGACCUGGACCUUCUCAUUUGGCUUGUGGUGUUAGCUCUAGUGUGCUGACCAUGUCUGAUCUGGCUUUGGAGCUGACACCAGACAAGUCCUUUCUCAGCCUCCAGGCCUCUUGGAAGUCUGUGCCAAGUCAGUGUGAGUGAAUCCUGUCUUCUUUAACUCUGCUUCUGCUGAUCCGAAAGAGG
Molecule: long non-coding RNA, 468 nt
Organism: Pogoniulus pusillus (Red-fronted tinkerbird)
Lineage: Eukaryota; Metazoa; Chordata; Aves; Piciformes; Lybiidae
Exons: 4
Source: RefSeq, a predicted model, not a curated record